RNAcentral lists this long non-coding RNA (1476 nucleotides) under Oryza sativa (Asian cultivated rice). RNAcentral describes it as "long non-coding RNA (OSAT_LNC000803)". The record is from RNAcentral. Lineage: Eukaryota; Viridiplantae; Streptophyta; Magnoliopsida; Poales; Poaceae.
UUAAAGUCAGUUCAUAUGAGUAUUGCUCUCAGCCUCUCAAACUUAAAAGUUCUAUGCAUGAAGUAUGGACAUCCAUUGGUCAAGUUUAGGUUAAUAAAAAAAUAGCAUAGGGAUGCUCAUGUUGAGCUCAGUGCAGUCAGAUCAGACAAGUUUAUGACAAUCAUAGUUAAAAGAAAUUAUUUCCAUGGGUUGAUGUCGAAGGCAGGACGAUCUGCUGUUUAUCAUCUGAAAUCCAGGUAUGACAUUGGUGUAUCGUUAUCCUUCAGAUUUACUAUAUGCUCUUAUAGUUUAGUUUUAGUGUUUAUUAAAUGUAACUACAAAUGAUACACUUUGCUAGUUUUUUAUUUUUAAUUAUGUUGUCAUCUGGACCAGCACGAUAUGUAUUUGCUUUAAAAUCUUGGAUGACUUGAUGCCAUCAAAACAUUAAAUUCAGAAAAGAAAAGAAUAGGAAUAACCCACCAUAACUAGCAUUUGCCGAUUCUGGAAUGUCUGUCACCAACCUGUCACAUGCAAAUAACCAUAAGAAUAGCUUUUGAUUUUGUAUUUGUCACGUCACACACAAGUGGAGAAGUAGAAUUGUAUAAACCAAUUAAUUCUGAAAUGUUUCAGAUUUUACCAAUGAAGGUAUUCUCUUUUUGUUGGGUUGCUUGGACUUGGCGAGUCAGGAUCCACCAUCACCUAAAAGCAAGUUAGCGUGUUACUUCUAGGGAAAAAUAUAACUUUUUAGUUAAAUAAAACAUUAUCAUUCCAAGCAAAGGAUAAAAACUUUGAAUUUGAGGGUAUAAGGUCCAUGAACUGUGCAUCUCAGUUACUUGUGUUCCACUAAGAUUAUAUGGCCAUUGCUUUCUUAAUUGACACAACCCAGAUACAAGGCUCUCCAUAACUUUGAUGCUUUAGAAAAUUAACUUUCUAUAACACUAUUAUUUUGUUAGCUUCAAUGGUUGUGUCACUACUAAUGCAUCUUCAUGAUUCUAGCAAAGUACAGUUAAUUUUUUAAUGCAUCUAAUCAUAAUGAUUCAGAUUCCUAUACUUCAUGGCUGACGUGCAUAAUUUUGAUCCACAGGCAGCAUUCAAAUAUGCAGGUAUAUGUGCUGACCUAUCAAAAGCAAACAGAAUAUCUUUGUUUACACGAAAUAAAGAAAUAGAGGUGCAAAGGUCUUUUUCAAUCCACCCAGUCACACAGAUGAAGUUGUACAACUUACAGAAAGCUGAGAAUAUUUGCUUCCAGUGUUCUAUACGUACUGAACACUAAUAGCACAUGCUACAGGUAUAGCACUCUACACAGUUGGAUGGGGCUCGUGUAAUUAGGCACAUGCUUUUUUCCCCCUGGGCUAGAUGCCAAAUAGUAUUCCUUAUGAACUCAAUAUUGUUCAAUGCAGUAAUGAGGAUUUGGACUUACCAGAGUGUAAAGGUUCCUUAUGUCGCGGCCAGCAAUUUCAAUCCUUGGUUCAUUUGCUACCUGUGACGGUUUGAGCU